AUAGGGCAGUUCCUUAAAGUGAUCGGCGGAGUUAGGGCAUACUCUAAGCGUAGUAAUAUUCUUCUCGCUUCUGUAGUUGUCCUGGCGGCUUGCCGUUAAACCCCUAUAUUUCUAGUGGUUGACCUCGGAUUAGGUAGGAAUACCCGCUGAACUUAAGCAUAUCAAUAAGCGGAGGAAAAGAAACCAACAGGGAUUGCCCUAGUAACGGCGAGUGAAGCGGCAACAGCUCAAAUUUGAAAUCUGGCCCUAGCGGUCCGAGUUGUAAUUUGUAGAGGAUGCUUUUGGUUAGGUGCCUUCUGAGUUCCCUGGAACGGGACGCCAGAGAGGGUGAGAGCCCCGUACGGUUGGACACCGAGCCUCUAUAUAGCUCCUUCGACGAGUCGAGUAGUUUGGGAAUGCUGCUCUAAAUGGGAGGUAAAUUUCUUCUAAAGCUAAAUACCGGCCAGAGACCGAUAGCGCACAAGUAGAGUGAUCGAAAGAUGAAAAGUACUUUGAAAAGAGGGUUAAAUAGCACGUGAAAUUGUUGAAAGGGAAGCGUUUGCGACCAGACUUUUUCCAGGCGGAUCAUCCGGUGUUCUCACCGGUGCACUUCGCCUGGUUUAGGCCAGCAUCGGUU
RNAcentral lists this ribosomal RNA (616 nucleotides) under Daldinia loculata. Its description in RNAcentral is "eukaryotic LSU rRNA". The stretch from base 120 to 616 matches the Rfam family "Eukaryotic large subunit ribosomal RNA", at positions 1 to 507 of the family's 3401-position model. The record is from RNAcentral. Lineage: Eukaryota; Fungi; Ascomycota; Sordariomycetes; Xylariales; Hypoxylaceae.